This 609-nucleotide ribosomal RNA is filed under the name Triticum aestivum (bread wheat). RNAcentral's name for it is "partial small subunit ribosomal RNA". The record is from RNAcentral. Lineage: Eukaryota; Viridiplantae; Streptophyta; Magnoliopsida; Poales; Poaceae.
ACACUAGUGAAAUUGGUGCUUAGCGCGAUCCCGCUACACCAGCUGCUUGUGUUGGCGCCCCCAAAGAGGAUCCUCCGCAUGCUCGAGCGUAUCCAGCGCGGGUUCGUUUGGGCCGGGCGCGCCGAGGCUAAAGGAGGCCACUGCCAUGUCAACUGCCGCCGGGUCGCGCUCCCCAGGAGCCUUGGCGGAUUGGGAGUGCAUGACCUAGAGCGCACCGGCAUGGCGCUCAGGACCCGUUGGCUCUGGUUCAGCAAAAUCGACGAGCGCCAUGCAUGGGCUGGUCUCGGCCUCCAGUUCCCUACCGAGGAGCAGGCCUUCUUCUUCGCCAGCACCCACACGUCCAAUGGGAACGGCCAUAACACCAAAUUUUGGGAAGACCGGUGGAUCAAUGGGCGCUUCGUUGGCGAGAUUGCCCCCUUGCUGCAUGCCUACAUCCCAAAACGGCAAAGGAAGAACAGGACGAUCGCUGAGGGCCUAUAAGCCCACCUCUGGGCGCGCGACAUCCACGGCGUCCUGGGAGUUCACGAGAUCGGUCAGUACUUGUUGCUUUGGCGACUCCUCGAGGGUAUUGCCCUCUCCGCCGAGCCUGACAAGCUGAUUUGGAAGUGA